This 516-nucleotide ribosomal RNA is filed under the name uncultured microorganism. RNAcentral's name for it is "bacterial SSU rRNA". It matches the Rfam family "Bacterial small subunit ribosomal RNA", at positions 9 to 507 of the family's 1533-position model. The record is from RNAcentral.
GAGUUUGAUCCUGGCUCAGGAUGAACGCUGGCGGCGUGCCUAAUACAUGCAAGUCGAGCGAACGGACGAGAAGCUUGCUUCUCUGAUGUUAGCGGCGGACGGGUGAGUAACACGUGGAUAACCUACCUAUAAGACUGGGAUAACUUCGGGAAACCGGAGCUAAUACCGGAUAAUAUUUUGAACCGCAUGGUUCAAAAGUGAAAGACGGUCUUGCUGUCACUUAUAGAUGGAUCCGCGCUGCAUUAGCUAGUUGGUAAGGUAACGGCUUACCAAGGCAACGAUGCAUAGCCGACCUGAGAGGGUGAUCGGCCACACUGGAACUGAGACACGGUCCAGACUCCUACGGGAGGCAGCAGUAGGGAAUCUUCCGCAAUGGGCGAAAGCCUGACGGAGCAACGCCGCGUGAGUGGUGAAGGUCUUCGGAUCGUAAAACUCUGUUAUUAGGGAAGAACAUAUGUGUAAGUAACUGUGCACAUCUUGACGGUACCUAAUCAGAAAGCCACGGCUAACUACGUG